This 454-nucleotide ribosomal RNA is filed under the name uncultured Prevotella sp. Its description in RNAcentral is "bacterial SSU rRNA". It matches the Rfam family "Bacterial small subunit ribosomal RNA", at positions 341 to 792 of the family's 1533-position model. Lineage: Bacteria; Pseudomonadati; Bacteroidota; Bacteroidia; Bacteroidales; Prevotellaceae. The record is from RNAcentral.
ACGGGAGGCAGCAGUGAGGAAUAUUGGUCAAUGGUCGGAAGACUGAACCAGCCAAGUAGCGUGAGGGAUGACGGCCCUAUGGGUUGUAAACCUCUUUUGUCAGGGAAUAAAGUCAGGGACGUGUCCCUGUUUGUAUGUACCUGAAGAAUAAGGACCGGCUAAUUCCGUGCCAGCAGCCGCGGUAAUACGGAAGGUCCGGGCGUUAUCCGGAUUUAUUGGGUUUAAAGGGAGCGUAGGCCGCCUUUUAAGCAUGCUGUGAAAUGUAGGCGCUCAACGUCUGCACUGCAGCGUGAACUGGAGGGCUUGAGUGCGCGGGAAGUAGGCGGAAUUCGUGGUGUAGCGGUGAAAUGCUUAGAUAUCACGAAGAACUCCGAUUGCGAAGGCAGCUUACUGUAGCGUAACUGACGCUGAAGCUCGAAAGUGCGGGUAUCGAACAGGAUUAGAUACCCUGGUA